This 253-nucleotide ribosomal RNA is filed under the name uncultured bacterium. RNAcentral's name for it is "partial 16S ribosomal RNA". It matches the Rfam family "Bacterial small subunit ribosomal RNA", at positions 524 to 776 of the family's 1533-position model. The record is from RNAcentral.
GGCGAACCGUGCGAACGUUGUUCGGAUUCACUGGGCUUAAAGGGCGCGUAGGCGGCUCGCCAAGUCGGGGGUGAAAUCUUUCGGCUCAACCGGAAAACAGCUUCCGAUACUGGCGGGCUCGAGUGGGGUAGGGGCGACUGGAACUUCUGGUGGAGCGGUGAAAUGCGUAGAUAUCUGGAGGAACACCGGUGGCGAAGGCGGCAUCCUGGACCAACACUGACACUGAGGAGCGAAAGCCAGGGGAGCAAACGGG